UAGAGAGAGUUCAAGAGUACGUGAAACCGUUCAGGGGUAAACCUGUGAAACCCAAAAGAUCGAAUGAGGAGAUUCAUCGUCAGCGUAUUUGGUAUUAAUGCAAGUUAUGAUGUAAAUUAUUUGCUCUUUCGGGAACAAUAUUUAUACAUAUUUGUAUUAUUUUAUUGCUAAAUAUCGUCGGCGUGCACUUCUCCUCUAGUAGAACGUCGUGACCCGUUGGGUGUUGAUCUACGGCCCAAUUGAUAGCUUUUGAUAACGCUUUAAUCGGCGAUUAUUAUUAAAAAUCAUUGGUGUAUUCUGAUCAUCUGCCCGACGGUAUUCGUACGAUAUUGAGUCGCAAUUAAUUAUAUAAUUUGCGUUAAACCCGUCACAAGCCCGGAUAAUUUUAUGGUAGUAUGGAUCUAAUGCCAUCGCUGUAAUUGUCUAGCUGUUGGUUGUUGCGGUGUUCUUUAACUGGCUCAAAUAAAUUAUCGGU
RNAcentral lists this ribosomal RNA (475 nucleotides) under Ichneutes sp. CXX-2005. RNAcentral's name for it is "eukaryotic LSU rRNA". The record is from RNAcentral. Lineage: Eukaryota; Metazoa; Arthropoda; Insecta; Hymenoptera; Braconidae.